RNAcentral lists this ribosomal RNA (508 nucleotides) under uncultured bacterium. RNAcentral describes it as "partial 16S ribosomal RNA". It matches the Rfam family "Bacterial small subunit ribosomal RNA", at positions 28 to 523 of the family's 1533-position model. The record is from RNAcentral.
GAUGAACGCUAGCUACAGGCUUAACACAUGCAAGUCGAGGGGAAAUGAUAUUGGAAACUUGCUUCCGAUAGGCGUCGACCGGCGCACGGGUGAGUAACGCGUAUCCAACCUGCCCACCACUUGGGGAUAACCUUGCGAAAGUAAGACUAAUACCCAAUGAUAUCUCUAGAAGACAUCUGAAGGAGAUUAAAGAUUUAUCGGUGAUGGAUGGGGAUGCGUCUGAUUAGCUUGUUGGCGGGGUAACGGCCCACCAAGGCGACGAUCAGUAGGGGUUCUGAGAGGAAGGUCCCCCACAUUGGAACGGAGAUACGGUCCAAACUCCUACGGGAGGCAGCAGUGAGGAAUAUUGGUCAAUGGGCGAGAGCCUGAACCAGCCAAGUAGCGUGCAGGAUGACGGCCCUAUGGGUUGUAAACUGCUUUUAUAAGGGAAUAAAGUGAGCCUCGUGAGGCUUUUUGCAUGUACCUUAUGAAUAAGGACCGGCUAAUUCCGUGCCAGCCGCCGCCGUAA